UCUGUUGUUAGGGAAGAACAAGUGCGAGAGUAACUGCUCGCACCUUGACGGUACCUAACCAGAAAGCCACGGCUAACUACGUGCCAGCAGCCGCGGUAAUACGUAGGUGGCAAGCGUUGUCCGGAAUUAUUGGGCGUAAAGGGCUCGCAGGCGGUUUCUUAAGUCUGAUGUGAAAGCCCCCGGCUCAACCGGGGAGGGUCAUUGGAAACUGGGAAACUUGAGUGCAGAAGAGGAGAGUGGAAUUCCACGUGUAGCGGUGAAAUGCGUAGAGAUGUGGAGGAACACCAGUGGCGAAGGCGACUCUCUGGUCUGUAACUGACGCUGAGGAGCGAAAGCGUGGGGGAGCGAACAGGAUUAGAUACCCUGGUAGUCCACGCCCGUAAACGAUGAGUGCUAAGUGCUAGGGGGUUUCCCGCCCCUUAGUGCUGCAGCUAACGCAUUAAAGCACUCCGCCUGGGGGAAGUACGGUCGCAAGAACUGAAACUCAAAAGGAAAUUGACGGGGGCCCGCAUAAGCGGUGGAGCAUGUGGUUUGAUUCGAAGCAACGCGAAGAACCUUACCAGGUCUUGACAUCCUCUGACAACCCUAGAGAUAGGGCUUUCCCUUCGGGGACAGAGUGACAGGUGGUGCAUGGUUGUCGUCAGCUCGUGUCGUGAGAUGUUGGGUUAAGUCCCGCAACGAGCGCAACCCUUGAUCUUAGUUGCCAGCAUUUAGUUGGGCACUCUAAGGUGACUGCCGGUGACAAACCGGAGGAAGGUGGGGAUGACGUCAAAUCAUCAUGCCCCUUAUGACCUGGGCUACACACGUGCUACAAUGGACAGAACAAAGGGCUGCGAGACCGCAAGGUUUAGCCAAUCCCAUAAAUCUGUUCUCAGUUCGGAUCGCAGUCUGCAACUCGACUGCGUGAAGCUGGAAUCGCUAGUAAUCGCGGAUCAGCAUGCCGCGGUGAAUACGUUCCCGGGCCUUGUACACACCGCCCGUCACACCACG
This 990-nucleotide ribosomal RNA is filed under the name Bacillus pumilus. Its description in RNAcentral is "bacterial SSU rRNA". It matches the Rfam family "Bacterial small subunit ribosomal RNA", at positions 432 to 1406 of the family's 1533-position model. Lineage: Bacteria; Bacillati; Bacillota; Bacilli; Caryophanales; Bacillaceae. The record is from RNAcentral.